GAUGAACGCUGGCGGCGUGCUUAACACAUGCAAGUCGAACGGAAAGGCUCCUGCUUGCAGGGGUACUCGAGUGGCGAACGGGUGAGUAACACGUGGGUGAUCUGCCCUGCACUUCGGGAUAAGCCUGGGAAACUGGGUCUAAUACCGGAUAGGACCACAUUUUGGAUGGUGUGGUGUAAAGUUUUUCGGUGUGGGAUGAGCUCGCGGCCUAUCAGCUUGUUGGUGGGGUAAUGGCCUACCAAGGCGUCGACGGGUAGCCGGCCUGAGAGGGUGUACGGCCACAUUGGGACUGAGAUACGGCCCAGACUCCUACGGGAGGCAGCAGUGGGGAAUAUUGCACAAUGGGCGCAAGCCUGAUGCAGCGACGCCGCGUGGGGGAUGACGGCCUUCGGGUUGUAAACUCCUUUCGCUAGGGACGAAGCGCAAGUGACGGUACCUGGAGAAGAAGCACCGGCUAACUACGUG
Molecule: ribosomal RNA, 465 nt
Filed under: uncultured bacterium
Lineage: Bacteria
Description: partial 16S ribosomal RNA
Rfam family: Bacterial small subunit ribosomal RNA
Source: RNAcentral